RNAcentral lists this ribosomal RNA (463 nucleotides) under uncultured bacterium. RNAcentral's name for it is "partial 16S ribosomal RNA". It matches the Rfam family "Bacterial small subunit ribosomal RNA", at positions 28 to 507 of the family's 1533-position model. The record is from RNAcentral.
GACGAACGCUGGCGGCGUGCUUAACACAUGCAAGUCGAGCGGAAAGGCCACUUCGGUGGUACUCGAGCGGCGAACGGGUGGGUAACACGUGAGUAAUCUGCCCCUCACUUUGGGAUAGCCACCGGAAACGGUGAUUAAUACCGGAUAUGACCAUAUGUCGCAUGGCGUGUGGUGGAAAGUUUUUCGGUGAGGGAUGUGCUCGCGGCCUAUCAGCUUGAUGGUGAGGUAAUGGCUCACCAUGGCUUCGACGGGUAGCCGGCCUGAGAGGGUGACCGGUCACACUGGGACUGAGAAACGGCCCAGACUCCUACGGGAGGCAGCAGUGGGGAAUAUUGGACAAUGGGCGGAAGCCUGAUCCAGCAACGCCGCGUGAGGGAUGACGGCCUUCGGGUUGUAAACCUCUUUCAGUACCGACGAAGCGCAAGUGACGGUAGGUACAGAAGAAGCACCGGCCAACUACGUG